Chenopodium quinoa (quinoa) is the source of this 1479-nucleotide long non-coding RNA. RefSeq lists it as uncharacterized. NCBI's taxonomy places the organism in Eukaryota, Viridiplantae, Streptophyta, Magnoliopsida, Caryophyllales, Amaranthaceae. The transcript has 2 exons. The record is from RefSeq and is a predicted model, not a curated record.
UUUAUUUUGAGGAUAUAUUUUGUUACCUAUUUUAUGCCUUGUGAAUAUCUUUUAGGUAGUUUCCUAAUUCUAUCAAAUUAGGGAAUAACUUGUAUUAUAUAUUGGCCAUGGGAGUAAUCAAUGAAUUCAAGCCUUGUUGUUUUAUAUAAUUUAGCAUGGUAUCAAGAGCAGAUUGAAUUUCUUUCGUUUUUUUUUCUAAAAUUCCUCAAAUAUGGCCGGAGAUGAUAUUCCUCCGCCACCUCCACCGACUGAAAUUAAACCCAAUUUCCCCUUCUACCUUGGGUCGCAAGACAGACCUGGGGAUUUUAUUACUCCUACACGACUCAAAACUGACAACUAUGAUGAUCGGGCGUUGGAUAUGCAGACUGCCUUGGAGGCAAGGCGUAAAUUUGGGUUCUUGGAUGGUUCAAUCACGGCGCCUAUUCCUCCCUGCACUUCGUCAGAUUGGACAGCCAUCAGCGCAAUGUUGAUCUCGUGGAUUACCAACACCAUUGAUCUAGAGGUAAGGUCGUCCCUUUCUAAAUUUCGUGAAGCUAGGCCCUUAUGGCAGCAUCUAUAACAGAGGUUUGCUCAGACUAAUGGUCCUAGAAUUCAACAAUUAAAAUCUUCUAUUGCUAAGUGUGAACAAACUCGCUCUAUGCCUGUCUCGGUUUAUUAUGGUAAAUUUCAUGCUUUGUGGCAAUAAUUUUAUCACCACGAGCCUCUUAUUUCUUGUUCUUGUUGUUCGAAGUGUAUUGCGGGUCAAUUACAUGAAGCUAGGCGACAGCAAUCAAAAUUGCAUGAUUUUUUAAUGGGUUUAUAUUCUGCUUUUUAUGUCUUGUUAUGCACUAAUAUUUUGUCUCAAGACCCUCUCCCUAGCCUAGAUCGUGCCUAUCAAUUGGUUGUACAGGAGGAAAGGGAUCGUACAGCAAAGCAGGAAGCCGAAUCAAAGCCUGCUGAGGCUCUUGGGUUUGCUGUCCGUACAGCUGCUGGGCGUGGGAAUGAGGGGACUGAUCAUGGUCGUGAGGGGUAUGGAACCGUGUGUGCUAAGUGCAAAAAGGUGGGUCAUGAAACCUCCUGUUGCUGGUCGGAUAAGAUAUGCAAUUACUACAAAAAGAAAGGUCACGUGGAGUCUAAAUGUUUUGAACUUCAUGGUCGACCCCCUCUGAGAGAUGGCAGCCAGGGGGGAAGAUUUCGGCUGGUCGUGGACAGGGCAUAGCACGGGUCAAUGCCGUGGCUUCUAAUGACAAUUCUUCUUCUCUUGGUCAAGUAUUCUCUAGCGAGAAAUGGAAAGCUAUUACGGGAUUGUUUGGUAAUGCAAAUAUUUCCGAAACCCGAUUGAAUGGACCAAACGAAGGAGCUGAUUGGAACGUAGCUAGGAGAGACGAAUUAUAUUAUUUUAGCAAUUCGGAUUCGGUGCAUUUUGUCGGCAUUGGUGAAGCGACCUUGUGGUACCCAUAUUUUUUACUAAUUAAAAUUAGAAGUCAAGAUCUCACGUAA